Molecule: non-coding RNA, 374 nt
Organism: Xyrichtys novacula (pearly razorfish)
Lineage: Eukaryota; Metazoa; Chordata; Actinopteri; Labriformes; Labridae
Source: the annotation of a GenBank genome assembly
UUUGACGCUGCUGCAGUCAGUUUCCAGGCAAGGGCCGAGCACAGAGGGAUUUAGUUAUGUACAACUGAUGCGGUCUGGCGGAAGAAGAAGAAGAAGAAGAAGAAGGAGGAGAAGAAAACGAAGAGAAGAGGGGGUGGGAGCUGAAACGACGGGAACAGAGUGGGAUUUUUUUGUUGUUUGGAGGAAGGAAGCUUCAGAAGUGUUGAAUAUAUAAGUUGAAAAACGUCGUUUCACAGAGCUCCGACGUCUGCCUGCGUUGCCGCUUGUGCAGCAACAAACCAGCCUCUCCUUGUUGCAGCCGAACAGUUUCUGCUGCCCAAUGAAUGGAGUUGCUUUCUGCCUUGUUGGAAUACCACCCUACUCUGAGAACCACG